This 376-nucleotide ribosomal RNA is filed under the name uncultured bacterium. RNAcentral's name for it is "bacterial SSU rRNA". It matches the Rfam family "Bacterial small subunit ribosomal RNA", at positions 28 to 404 of the family's 1533-position model. The record is from RNAcentral.
GACGAACGCUGGCGGCGUGCUUAACACAUGCAAGUCGAGCGGUAAGGCCCUUUCGGGGGUACACGAGCGGCGAACGGGUGAGUAACACGUGGGUGACCUGCCCUUAGCUCUGGGAUAAGCCUGGGAAACGUGGGUCUAAUACCGGAUAUGACCUCAUGACUCAUGUUGUGGGGUGGAAAGCCUUGUGCGGCUAGGGAUGGGCCCGCGGUCUAUCAGCUUGUUGGUGGGGUAAUUGCCUACCAAGGCGACGACGGGUAGCCGGCCUGAGAGGGCGACCGGCCACACUGGGACUGAGACACGGCCCAGACUCCUACGGGAGGCAGCAGUGGGGAAUCUUGCGCAAUGGGCGAAAGCCUGACGCAGCGACGCCGCGUGA